RNAcentral lists this ribosomal RNA (450 nucleotides) under uncultured bacterium. RNAcentral describes it as "bacterial SSU rRNA". It matches the Rfam family "Bacterial small subunit ribosomal RNA", at positions 354 to 796 of the family's 1533-position model. The record is from RNAcentral.
GUGGGGAAUAUUGGACAAUGGGCGAAAGCCUGAUCCAGCCAUGCCGCGUGUGUGAAGAAGGUCUUCGGAUUGUAAAGCACUUUAAGUUGGGAGGAAGGGUAGUAGCCUAAUACGUUGCUACUUUGACGUUACCGACAGAAUAAGCACCGGCUAACUUCGUGCCAGCAGCCGCGGUAAUACGAAGGGUGCAAGCGUUAAUCGGAAUUACUGGGCGUAAAGCGCGCGUAGGUGGUUUUGUAAGUUGGAGGUGAAAUCCCCGGGCUCAACCUGGGAACUGCAUCCAAAACUGCAUGACUAGAGUACGGUAGAGAGUAGUGGAAGUUCCUGUGUAGCGGUGAAAUGCGUAGAUAUAGGAAGGAACACCAGUGGCGAAGGCGACUACCUGGACUGAUACUGACACUGAGGUGCGAAAGCGUGGGGAGCAAACAGGAUUAGAUACCCCGGUAGUCC